GGUAGGGUGGCCGAGUGGUCUAAGGCGAAGGUUUGCUAAACCUUUGUCCCGAAAGGGACGCGCAGGUUCGAAUCCUGUCCCUACCG
RNAcentral lists this transfer RNA (86 nucleotides) under Candidatus Woesebacteria bacterium RIFCSPHIGHO2_01_FULL_39_23. RNAcentral's name for it is "tRNA-Ser". It matches the Rfam family "tRNA". From Rfam's summary of the family: Transfer RNA (tRNA) molecules are approximately 80 nucleotides in length. RNAcentral also lists the same sequence under 1 other name. The record is from RNAcentral. Lineage: Bacteria; Candidatus Woeseibacteriota.